RNAcentral lists this transfer RNA (76 nucleotides) under Verrucomicrobia bacterium RIFCSPLOWO2_12_FULL_64_8. Its description in RNAcentral is "tRNA-Ala". It matches the Rfam family "tRNA". Rfam says of the family: Transfer RNA (tRNA) molecules are approximately 80 nucleotides in length. Their secondary structure includes four short double-helical elements and three loops (D, anti-codon, and T loops). RNAcentral also lists the same sequence under 4 other names. Lineage: Bacteria; Pseudomonadati; Verrucomicrobiota. The record is from RNAcentral.
GGGCUCGUAGCUCAGUUGGAAGAGCGCCGCAAUGGCAUUGCGGAGGUCGUCAGUUCGAUCCUGAUCGGGUCCACCA